GUCUACCGUCAUACCACCCUGAACACAGCAGAUCUUGUCUGAUCUUGGAAGCUAAGCAGGAUUGGACUGGGUUAGUACUUGCAUAGGAGAAAAGAAUCAAACGACAGUAAAAA
Ribosomal RNA from Fukomys damarensis (Damara mole-rat), 113 nucleotides. Lineage: Eukaryota; Metazoa; Chordata; Mammalia; Rodentia; Bathyergidae. The record is from Ensembl.